Cordylochernes scorpioides is the source of this 74-nucleotide non-coding RNA. The record is from the annotation of a GenBank genome assembly. Lineage: Eukaryota; Metazoa; Arthropoda; Arachnida; Pseudoscorpiones; Chernetidae.
AAAGAAAUAGCUCAGUUUGGUGUGCAGUUAGACUAAAGAUCUAAAGGUAUCAGGUUCGAACCCGGUUUUCUCUA